UAGGGAAUUUUCGUCAAUGGGCGCAAGCCUGAACGAGCGAUGCCGCGUGAGUGAAGAAGGCCUUGGUCGUAAAGCUCUGUUGCGGGGGAAAAAAGGGCAGCAUCAGGAAAUGGGUGCUGACUGAUGGUGCCCCGCCAGAAAGUC
RNAcentral lists this ribosomal RNA (144 nucleotides) under uncultured bacterium. RNAcentral's name for it is "partial 16S ribosomal RNA". It matches the Rfam family "Bacterial small subunit ribosomal RNA", at positions 355 to 492 of the family's 1533-position model. The record is from RNAcentral.